AAGGGAGCUGUUGCGCAAAGCAAGUGUGGCUGACUCCCAGGUUCUCCGCGUUCAGCCACCUUGGAUGUUGUUCGAGAGACAAAAAUGUGGCUUUCCCUUCCUGCUGCGCCUUCACACGGACCCCAUGUUCAAAUUCACGUGCAUUCCGGCUUAUUCUGCGUGGGUUUGAGGGAGGAGAGAUUUGCCUUAGCCACCAGAAACCGUGCAGAGCUGUCCUUGCCAUAAAAUGUCCCUUCCCUGCAGGGCAAAGGUGGUAAGGACACUGGAGCUCAGGCACCUGCCUGGCGGAGGUCUACAGCUGACAUCUAAGCCUGCCGCAAGACUUUUGAAAAGUCAGAAGCACCAUCGUAUCUGAGACAUUUUCUGAUUUUAGCACUGGUAAAUGAACCUGUAAGCAAUCAAUCCAUCAGUCGCAGGCACCAGCUGCGGUUGCUGCAUGUACUUAUCUUCGUGACAGUGCUCAGUGUGAUUUAAGUGUAUUAAAUUAAAUCACAUUCCUUGAAGCAUCAACAUGGAGGGACAGCUCUUCUACACACACACCUUUUUUCUUACACACAACUCAUUUUCCCUGGGAUUCUAGAAGGUAAGAUGAGGGGAUCCCUUCUCUAACAUACAAACCUGAAAACCACAGACCAGGUGUCAAAACGGAUGCAAAACAUUUCCUUAGCACUCAGCUCUGCGUUGUGAAAACCAUCAUGCUUUCUUCAGAAAUUACUGCGUUGCCACUGAAAUUUCAGACACUUUACAUUAGGAAAAAAGGGACAUGGUCAAAAGGGGUUGAGGGUGAAAGUAAUAUGGGCGGAUGGAAAUUCAGUUUGUAACACUGAACAGUAGCUCCAUAUUUCUUCAGAAUUCCUCCUGACCCCCGAGUGCAGAGGGGACAAGAAUGUCUCUUCCUUUUAUAAGUUUUAUAAACUUAUAAAAAAAAAAAAGCCAUCUUUCACGGAGCAAACUAUCAAAGGACAAACUGAGGGCGCCAAGGACCAUCUUUCUUCUUUGGAAAUGGAUAUUUAAUGUGUCAACAGCUUUUAUUUGAGGAGAACAAUAUAUACUUUUUUUAUUCUGUUGUUUCAAGGAGGCCUUAAGGAAAUAUCACUUGGUAAGGAGAUUAUUCUCAAAGUCAAGGUGUGUAGAAUAUAUCCUGGUGGUUUGCAGUGCCAAACGCUGAUCACUGUGUUAUUCCUUUGUUCUUUCAGAAAAGUAAGGCAGCAAUGCUACCUUUUAAAUGGAAGAUCCUAAAAGCUCCUAACUGGGAGGAAAUUUCUUACUAAGCAGCAGAGGGGGGAAAAAAUCGCAUGGAUUUAUUCUACUGUAAAAGUUCUAAAGGAGAGGAUGCUUUCUGGUUCUGCCCUACUUUUAAAUUUUUUUUUUCUUUUGCAAUUUUUAGUACUCUAUAAUUUGUCACUCCAUCUGUCAAAGAUGAGUUUCCUUUUCCUCGUGAUACAUUCAUUUUAGAACCUGUUGUAGUCACUGUGACUGUUUUUAAACUUGGUUUUGAAGAUGCCUGUUCAUUACAGUAUUUGCCCAGAUAUAGACGAGUGCUACCCUGUGAAUUGACUUCGCACUGAAUUUUAUUUCCUUUGAGAAGAGAAAUGAAAUUACUGUACCCAAAGGAAAAUAAAAUGUGGAGUCCGUUUCA
This 1639-nucleotide long non-coding RNA is filed under the name Castor canadensis (American beaver). RNAcentral describes it as "lncRNA (ENSCCNG00000022541.1)". Lineage: Eukaryota; Metazoa; Chordata; Mammalia; Rodentia; Castoridae. The record is from RNAcentral.